This 588-nucleotide long non-coding RNA is filed under the name Malus domestica (apple). RNAcentral describes it as "long non-coding RNA (MDOM_LNC020860)". Lineage: Eukaryota; Viridiplantae; Streptophyta; Magnoliopsida; Rosales; Rosaceae. The record is from RNAcentral.
AAAUUAACCGUGAAUUGCACUAAUUAACCCUCAGAUUUUCCUAAAGUUUUCAAAUUGGAUGAAUUGCAUACGACAACCCAAAGCAUUCCUCACAAGUUCCCUGCAUGAAUUGCAUAACAAAGAUACAAGCAAAGAUCAUUAAGUUCUAUGAAAAUCAUAAGCAUUGGCGAGGCACUCGUUACUAUGAAUUGCAUGAUACUUAUGCCAAGAAUUUACUUAAAUCGAUUGUGAUCAACAACCUUUACUACUUUUGAAUAUAAGUUCAUAACGAUUAGGUGAAAUUCCCUUAUAUCCUAGCAUCAAACUUAUGCAUGAAAAUUAAGCGUGCACUCUCAACCAACACACACAAAUCAGUUUUUAAAUUCAUGCAGAAAAGUAAAUUGAAUUCACAACUUAUGAAACGCAAUUGAAAGUAAUCAAAUUAUAUAGCAAGCAUAAACAUGGUUUCGAAUCCCCCCUAGCCAAGGGGGGGGGGGUUUAGUUCCUCAUACGUACAAAACAAAGAGUAUAGAAUUUAAACAUUGAAAUCAAAAGAAAGAAAACCCCUAAACGCUCCAACAAUCCUAACUUGAAUGGCAUGUACGUCCA